This 253-nucleotide ribosomal RNA is filed under the name uncultured bacterium. RNAcentral's name for it is "partial 16S ribosomal RNA". It matches the Rfam family "Bacterial small subunit ribosomal RNA", at positions 524 to 776 of the family's 1533-position model. The record is from RNAcentral.
UACGUAGGGUGCGAGCGUUGUCCGGAAUUACUGGGCGUAAAGCGUGCGCAGGCGGUUUUGUAAGCCAGAUGUGAAAUCCCCGGGCUCAACCUGGGAAUGGCAUUUGGGACUGCAAGGCUGGAGUUUGGCAGAGGAGACUGGAAUUCCCGGUGUAGCAGUGAAAUGCGUAGAUAUCGGGAGGAAUACCGAUGGCGAAGGCAGGUCUCUGGGCUAUAACUGACGCUCAUGCACGAAAGCGUGGGGAGCAAACAGG